This 174-nucleotide non-coding RNA is filed under the name Oenococcus kitaharae. RNAcentral describes it as "Lysine sequence". It matches the Rfam family "Lysine riboswitch aptamer". From Rfam's summary of the family: Riboswitches are metabolite binding domains within certain messenger RNAs that serve as precision sensors for their corresponding targets. Allosteric rearrangement of mRNA structure is mediated by ligand binding, and this results in modulation of gene expression. This family includes riboswitches that sense lysine in a number of genes involved in lysine metabolism, including lysC. RNAcentral also lists the same sequence under 1 other name. Lineage: Bacteria; Bacillati; Bacillota; Bacilli; Lactobacillales; Lactobacillaceae. The record is from RNAcentral.
AUCCGUAAUAGAGGUUGCAGAGGACACGAGUAGUUUUCCGGGAAAUUCCCCGCUAGGGAUCGGAUAAUGAAAAGGGACUUUGCCGAAGUCAUCAGCGUUAGCGGGCACUGCAUGAUUGAGACGCGGCUCAAUAGGCCACGGAUUGUCACAGUAAUGUGGAGUGCUAGGACGGAC